RNAcentral lists this ribosomal RNA (493 nucleotides) under uncultured bacterium. RNAcentral describes it as "bacterial SSU rRNA". It matches the Rfam family "Bacterial small subunit ribosomal RNA", at positions 29 to 517 of the family's 1533-position model. The record is from RNAcentral.
AAUGAACGCUGGCGGCGCGCCUAAUACAUGCAAGUCGAGCGAGAAGACGUAGCAAUACGUUUGUAAAGCGGCGAACGGGUGAGGAAUACAUGGGUAACCUACCCUCGAGUGGGGAAUAACUAGCCGAAAGGUUAGCUAAUACCGCGUACGCUCCUUGGACUUCGGUUCAGGGAGGAAAGCGAUACCGUGGGUAUCGCGCUCUUGGUUGGGCUCAUGUCCUAUCAGCUUGUUGGUGAGGUAACGGCUCACCAAGGCUUCGACGGGUAGCUGGUCUGAGAGGACGAUCAGCCACACUGGCACUGCGACACGGGCCAGACUCCUACGGGAGGCAGCAGUAAGGAAUAUUGCGCAAUGGGCGAAAGCCUGACGCAGCGACGCCGCGUGGGGGAUGAAGGUCUUCGGAUUGUAAACCCCUUUCGGGAGGGAAGNUGGACGAGCAAUCGUUCGGACGGUACCUCCAGAGCAGCCACGGCUAACUUCGUGCCAGCCGCCG